RNAcentral lists this ribosomal RNA (477 nucleotides) under uncultured Oscillibacter sp. RNAcentral describes it as "bacterial SSU rRNA". It matches the Rfam family "Bacterial small subunit ribosomal RNA", at positions 36 to 507 of the family's 1533-position model. The record is from RNAcentral. Lineage: Bacteria; Bacillati; Bacillota; Clostridia; Eubacteriales; Oscillospiraceae.
CGGGCGUUGCUUAACACAUAGCAAAGUCGAACGGAAGCGAACCCCUGAAGGAGUUUUCGGUACAACGGAAGGGAAGUGCUUAGUGGCGACGGGUGAGUAACGCGUGAGUAACCUGCCUUGGAUGGGGAUAACAGAUGGAAACAUCUGCUAAUACCGCAUGAAGCAGUUGGGCCGCAUGGCUCUGACUGCCAAAGAUUUAUCGCUCUGAGAUGGACUCGCGUCUGAUUAGCUAGUUGCGGGGCAACGGCCCACCAAGGCGACGAUCAGUAGCCGGACUGAGAGGUUGGCCGGCCACAUUGGGACUGAGACACGGCCCAGACUCCUACGGGAGGCAGCAGUGGGGAAUAUUGGGCAAUGGGCGCAAGCCUGACCCAGCAACGCCGCGUGAAGGAAGAAGGCUUUCGGGUUUGUAAACUUCUUUUCUCAGGGACGAAGAAAGUGACGGUACCUGAGGAAUAAGCCACGGCUAACUACGUG